Cucurbita maxima (winter squash) is the source of this 74-nucleotide non-coding RNA. The record is from the annotation of a RefSeq genome assembly. NCBI's taxonomy places the organism in Eukaryota, Viridiplantae, Streptophyta, Magnoliopsida, Cucurbitales, Cucurbitaceae.
GACCGCAUAACGCAGUGUAUUAGCACGUCUGACUUUGGAUUAGAAGGUUGUGGGUUCGACUCCCACUGUGGUCG